GAAUCUCUCCACCACAUCUAUCCUCCUCCUCAUUCUCAUUCACCUCUCUCUCUCUCUCUCCGAGAUAUAGCCGCUUGUAAUAUCUAAACCCAUUUCCGAGCAUUCCUUGCCCGUUGAUCCCAAACCCUCAGACAACUCAAACACCUCGCCUCUAUCAAAUCUAAUCUUGCUACCCUCAAAUCCCCUCUCUCAGACAAGACCCAACUCCGCAGAUCCGAUGCCCUCUCGCAGAAAGUCACCAGUCUACUCCAAAAGUUCGAAUCCAUUCAAGGUGGUGACUCGAUGAUUCGGGAAGGGAAAAGGGCAAUAAACAGUGAACUGAUUCAGCAAUUGGAGUACGUUAAUGGCAUGGUAGCGAAAAGGCAAGAGACUCCUUCCAAAUCAAUAAAAAAGGUUUUUGGCACUUCAUGAGCACAAAGAAAUCCCUGCAGCCUGCUAGAGUGCAUUUGAUGUUGCCUGUUUACGCAUGGAAGAGAGACUAGCCUACUCCAAUUUUGAACAGGGUGUAUGGUUGCUCUACUGGUAGUGGCUUCUACUCUGCUGGCAGCAGUGGCCGUUUUACUUUGUGAUUUUGACCAUAUCAAUAAGUUUUGGUACUACACAGGGAAAGCCCAAUUUUGUUCCAUUUAAUGAGGAAUUGAUGAAAUCGACUCGAGGUAUUUCGUAUGUCCUAUGCUUUCAAAAAUAGGUAAAUGAGAUUUGAGACUCUUGUUUCAGUUUUAGAAAAUUUCUUGCUUCAAUUUGUUGAUGGUGUGCUUCCCAUCGAUUUGGAUCUCACAGUUGUUCUUUGGCUGUUUCAUCAAUCAAAGAUAUGUUAUCUCAAAAAAGAUUUUGUAAAAUAGUUUUUUCUAUAUGAGUCUGUUUUAAUUAAUUUAUUGAAUUCAAUCUUUUCUAUAUGGGUUUCGUAAGGAGCACGCAAACACAGUUGGUUUUGAGAAAGGCGCAUCGGUGAUAUUGGAUGAUUCAUGGUUCUCUCAAGACAUCUUUUUGCAUCGUUUGUGCAAGGUAGAAUUCUUUUGUUGUUUGAACAUAUAGAAAUGCUAGGAAGGUUCAUAGUAAGGCUGAUUGAAGAGGAAAUUUAGGAGAAAAGUGCAAACAUUGCUCACAUGUGCAAGAUCCAGGUUAAUGAUUUGCCUUGGUUGGCAGACAGUACCAAUCAUCUAUAUCCAGCAUGCACAUGUGGCAUACUUGAUGAGUGAACCUGUCUUGUGACGCCUGGUGAAUGGCCAGGAUCUCUUACAUGUGUACAGUGAAUCUCCUCUUUCAUAUGCUUAUCUUCAGCUGUAUAGAUGUGCUUACCAAUUUUAAUCAUUCGAAAAAUCAAAAUCAAAUUUGAAAUCAUACAGGUAGCAAGCUAAUCAAUUUUUAUGCAUAAAUUACUGUAGCUAAGCUUGCGUUUGGCUGCACCAAAUAUCAUGAUAUUUUUCAUCUAAUUAGACUGAUUAACCAUCAAAUUUCAUGAUAUUUAGUGCAACCAAAAGCACCCUACACUGGAAAUAUUGAAAAUGGUUCAAAAGAUGGGGAUAAGAUUCAUUAACUUGGUUGAGUGCUUUAAAGCUUGCCCAGUUAUCAAAACAGCUACUUUUCUUUUCUAAUGGACAAUUAGAUUUCAUUUAAUUUCAGGAGUUCUUUUCAUUGGUCCUAAAAGCCGAUGUCGUGGAUGGUGAUCUUUUGUCAUGGGUGUGUAUACUAAUGCUCUCUCUCGCUUUGUGUUUCGUCUUCUUGUUUUAAAGUGUCUUAAUGGCUAGGAUUGAUUUUUAUGGACACUAUGUAAGUGAACCUUGCAAGGGGCUCAUGGCUUCUACAUGCCAAUCUGCCACACAUUUGUGAGAUCCAAGCUGCUCAACAAGAGGGUCCCAUUGUCUAAAUGCGGUGGCCCAAAAGCCUUUAUCUUUUAGAAAGACAGGUUAACUGAAGGAUUUCUAAAGAUUUUGUUGCUGCAUUGUUGAUUAAAAGAAUGAUGUAGUUUUUUGCUGAUGUAAUUGGAUAUUGGCGAUGUGCGGCUAAUUCGCAAGAAGA
This is a long non-coding RNA of Magnolia sinica, 2019 nucleotides long. RefSeq lists it as uncharacterized. The transcript has 4 exons. NCBI's taxonomy places the organism in Eukaryota, Viridiplantae, Streptophyta, Magnoliopsida, Magnoliales, Magnoliaceae. The record is from RefSeq and is a predicted model, not a curated record.